RNAcentral lists this small nuclear RNA (309 nucleotides) under Felis catus (domestic cat). RNAcentral's name for it is "7SK RNA". It matches the Rfam family "7SK RNA". Rfam says of the family: 7SK was discovered as an abundant small nuclear RNA in the mid-70s but a possible function has only recently been suggested. Two independent studies have found that 7SK RNA binds the CDK9/cyclin T complex (known as elongation factor P-TEFb). P-TEFb activates transcription by phosphorylating the C-terminal domain of RNA polymerase II. The record is from Rfam by way of RNAcentral. Lineage: Eukaryota; Metazoa; Chordata; Mammalia; Carnivora; Felidae.
GGAUGUGAGGGCGAUCUGGCUGCGACAUCUAUCACCCCAUUGAUCGUCAGGGUUGAUUCGGCUGAUCUGGCUGGCUAGGUGGGUGUCCCCCUCCUCCCUCACCGCUCCAUGUGCGUCCCUCCCGAAGCUGCACGCUCGGUCGAAGAGGACGAAAAAAAAAAAGUAUAUACCAAAGAGAAAUGAAAGUAUUUGUCCACAGAAUCACUUGUACGCAGAUGUUCGUAGCAGCAUGACUCAUCGGAGCUAAAAGGUGGAAACAACGUGAAAGAAAAGAUAAACCAAAUGUGGCACAUUCGUACGCCAGAAUAU